CCAACAAGUUAGCCAACCUGAGCUAUUAAGAUUCCCUCGUGACAAGUGCGCUGAACUUUAAGAUCGAAGGAUCAAAAUAAGUGAUUGAGUGAGUGUGUGCAUAUUAAAAAUAAGGACAAAUUUUAAUGUCUCAACCAUAAUAGUGUGAAUGGAGUCUGUGGUUCUGAUGCUUAAGUUGAAAAAACAGCAGAAUUAUUCUAGAUACGUACAUUAGUUACUAAAGUUUACUCAAAAGUCAGAGUCGUUUAAUUACUACACACAACAAAGAAGAAGAAUACUUCUUAUGUAGUAGUGAAAUUUUUAAAAGUAUUUGGUGUCACUACAUAACUCUUUUUCCAGUCCUUUAAUUCAACAAAUUCAUACUUUCGUACAAACAAAGAUUUAUGAAGGAAUUGUGCCGGUAGUUUUAGUUAAGAGUUUGAUUCACUAAAAUUCUUGGCGUUAGAACCAGAAAAUUCUUCCGUGCUAACAAUUAAACUGUGCUGCUUUCGUCUAAUCUUUGCCUUUUAACUUCUAUGUUGUUUGUGACCCACAAUAUGAUGCCUUUGAAAUUUUUUAAACAUCUAUACAUUUGAUAAGAAACAUGAAUUUAUGCACCAACAUGAAUACAUAGAUGAGACAAAGGGUUCUUAAUGAAGUUAGUUAAAAGAGUUACCUUAUGAGCAUCAUUCUCUGGCAUUCUGAAACAUCCGCAACCAGGGGAUCGGGCAUUUCUUUUUCACAUCCCAAUUUUUAGGAUACCAUGGGUACUGCCACAUUAAGAAACAUCGUUCUGGAUGAGGUAUCAUCGCGAGAUGUCUUCCAUCUAGGGAACAAAUUGCAGCCACACCCAAGGGGGAACCAUUAGGAUUGAAAGGAUAUACAUCUGUUGGUCUGUCAUUAUCAUCGCAAUACUUCAAGCUGGGGCAUUUCAGUGAAGCCAGGGGUUCUAGAAAAACACUAAGAGAGACUAACUCUUCCUCAGUUGGUUCACCAUAUUGGUUGUUGUUUCCACACGCUAAAGAUGCAAGAUACUCCCUCCGUUCAUCUUUAUUUGACCACUUCUCUAUUUUGGGAUAUUCAAAUUAAGAUGGAUGACUUAACGGCCUAAAUUCAAGUUUGAAGCAAAGGAGGGUUCAUAAAUCAUAGAAACGGAGUUUUGGGGAUGAAAAUUAACUAUGGGGAUCUCAACGCAACUUGACAGCAUCUAGGAGAUUGUUGACAGGAACGAAAUGAAAGGUUGUUCUACAAUCUUCUUAUUGAUAAUGUGGAAGAGUUACUUCCAACUGUCUAUACUUCAACUGUUGGGGGAGGAUCCUUGAGGUAUUGAAUAAUUGGCCUGAAAGAUCAAUCCAUGUCAUCAUCGUGACUGAUGGAGAAAGAAUUCUGGGACUUGGGGACCUUGGUUGCCAGGUGAUGAUGCCCUCAAUUGAUAUAAAAGUCCAUUUCCUCCUUCGCACUAUGUAUUACUCAACUGGCAUUCAUUUUAACACUACUUUACUUCCACAGAUUUCGCCAUUUCAACCACAUCUCACUCUUUUUUUCUCAAUUUCAUCCAUGUCAUAUGAGUAUUCAUUGUUUAAUUGCAAAAUUGAUGAUUUUGCUGUUCAGGUUGUCUUUGUGAGAGUUGGAUACGAUAAAUUUCUUGGUCAUUGUCACACUCUUCCGCGCUUCACUGUUGUUAAUUUUCAAUUUGCAUUUUUCCAAUCUUGGGUUAUCUAUUUUAAUUUUGGGUUUAAAUUUGUAUAUUCUGCUAUGGCUUCUGUGAGGAUAGUUUGAUUCAUUUUCAUUUUUCCAUGAAUGCUUUGGUUGAUUUUCGCUUUUCCACCAAUUUAUUUCUACUUAUUUUUAUUUGGGGGGUUUACAGAUGAAUGAGAGGAAUGAAUUGAAGUUGCAGGUGAAGCGUUUGUUGAACGUACUAAGCAAGCCUUGGUUUGGCUGAACAGAAACCAUAAAUGGGUUUAACGUAUGCACCCCAGACCUCACUUAUAGGAGAUUGCAUGCUAAGUAUGUUAUUAUUGUUUAAUCGAAGUCUCAUGAGAAAUAGAGGCGAUAUCAACUGCUUUGAAGUUAAACUAAGUUUUGAAACUGAGAGUCAACAAGUUUGUCGAUGUUUCACUCCAAGAUUACUGAUAGUGAAAUAGAGGCGAUAUCAACUGCUUUGAAGUUAAACUAAGUUUUGAAACUGAGAGUCAACAAGUUUGUCGAUGUUUCACUCCAAGAUUACUGAUAGUGAUAACUUAUAAGGAUAUCAUAUUACAUUUUUAAUCAACUCAAAGUAUAUCAACUACUGACAACAACUACAAAUAUUAACUCUACAAUAUUUGUUGAAUUUGUUGAAGUGUACUUCUUGGAUUCUGUGUACCAACUUUCAUUUUUACUUGCAAAGUGAAUUACAUAGCUUACAGUUAUAUGAUAUAGUUAUCUUCUGGUAGUCAAAGCAAUUCCAAUAUUUUGAACUGUUUGAGUGAUAUAUGUGCAAAUAAUGUAAUUUCUAUGAAAAUUGCACUUAAAAUGGCUUAAAAGAUUAUAGCGCAUGAAAAGUUUGCAACAAAGAAGAUAAUCCAAUUGGAGCUGCUAUACAGAGAAUUCUUUAACGAUAGGUAGAGCUACUAUAACUAUUUGAUCUUAUCGUGAAGAAUCGUGCCAUGUAAGUAUGAUAAAAUAUGCUUUUUGCUUAUCGAAUAAUCAACUAUUUUCAAAUUGUUACAGGUAAUGUUGGUGGAAUCUCAUUCUCUAUAUUGAUUUGCAAAAUAAGACAAUGCAAAUGACGCAUGAGAGUAUUGACAAGGCUUUAGAGAAGACAUCUGAAUAUGACCAUUUUUUUGGGAGUAUACACAAUUGCUAUGGCAUAUAACAUGAAGUCACCAAGCUCCGGUAGUUCACCUCCAGUUCAGUAAAAUUUUGAUAUCGGUUAUUCCUCACAUAAAUGAAGUAAACAAGGAGAAGAGUUCUCGAUGAUAACCCUAUCUAAAGCAGUUUUUUACCAACACUUGCCCAAAUAUGAAAGUGGUGCAUUUACAGGAAUUGUCGUUAAAGAUUUGAUCGGAACACAUCGAAUUGAAAGUCUAACUCCAACCUCUUUAGAAGGAGCUCCAAUAAAGAUACAACAUUGCAAGUUUGUAAUAAUUCCUAAAAGUUCAAUUAUAUAGAAAAAGAUUAUCUCUUUCC
Molecule: long non-coding RNA, 3150 nt
Organism: Capsicum annuum
Lineage: Eukaryota; Viridiplantae; Streptophyta; Magnoliopsida; Solanales; Solanaceae
Exons: 6
Source: RefSeq, a predicted model, not a curated record